Molecule: ribosomal RNA, 498 nt
Filed under: uncultured bacterium
Lineage: Bacteria
Description: partial 16S ribosomal RNA
Rfam family: Bacterial small subunit ribosomal RNA
Source: RNAcentral
GACGAACGCUGGCGGCGUGCCUAAUACAUGCAAGUCGAGCGGACGAAUCGAAAGCUUGCUUUUGAUUCGUUAGCGGCGGACGGGUGAGUAACACGUGGGCAACCUGCCCUGUAGACGGGGAUAACACCGAGAAAUCGGUGCUAAUACCGGAUAACACGAAAUGUCGCAUGACGUUUCGUUGAAAGACGGCGCAAGCUGCCGCUACAGGAUGGGCCCGCGGCGCAUUAGCUAGUUGGUGAGGUAACGGCUCACCAAGGCGACGAUACGUAGCCGACCUGAGAGGGUGAUCGGCCACACUGGGACUGAGACACGGCCCAGACUCCUACGGGAGGCAGCAGUAGGGAAUCUUCCGCAAUGGACGAAAGUCUGACGGAGCAACGCCGCGUGAGCGAAGAAGGCCUUCGGGCCGUAAAGCUCUGUUGUUAGGGAAGAACAAGUAACGCAGUAACUGGCGUUACCGUGACGGUACCUAACGAGAAAGCCACGGCUAACUACGUG